This 89-nucleotide microRNA precursor is filed under the name Ovis aries (sheep). Its description in RNAcentral is "miRNA (ENSOARG00000022907.1)". Lineage: Eukaryota; Metazoa; Chordata; Mammalia; Artiodactyla; Bovidae. The record is from RNAcentral.
ACUAUUGGGUUGGUCAAAAAGUUUGUUCAUGGAUUUCUGUAACAUCUAAUGGAAAAACCUGAAUGAACUUUUGGGCCAACCCAAUAUAU